Small nucleolar RNA from Erinaceus europaeus (western European hedgehog), 187 nucleotides. Its record names the gene SNORA73. It matches the Rfam family "Small nucleolar RNA SNORA73 family". Rfam says of the family: U17 (SNORA73A and SNORA73B) also known as E1 belongs to the H/ACA class of small nucleolar RNAs (snoRNAs). Vertebrate U17 is intron-encoded and ranges in length from 200-230 nucleotides, longer than most snoRNAs. Lineage: Eukaryota; Metazoa; Chordata; Mammalia; Eulipotyphla; Erinaceidae. The record is from Ensembl.
UAGAUGCGGAUACGCUCUCCGAGGCUCUGUCUGGGUGGCAGCGGGAGCUCAGGGCUCUGCCCGGGGAUGUACAGUCCCUUUCCACAGCGUCAGAGAUGAAGCGGGGCCCUGAGUCCACGCUCACAUAUUCCUACAGCUUCUCAGAGUCCCAAAGACAGUAAGUAAGGAAACAAACCAGGAAACAGUU